RNAcentral lists this microRNA precursor (138 nucleotides) under Helianthus annuus (common sunflower). Its description in RNAcentral is "sRNA HanXRQr2_Chr10g0442781". It matches the Rfam family "mir-166 microRNA precursor family". Rfam says of the family: This family represents the plant microRNA (miRNA) precursor mir-166. Animal miRNAs are transcribed as ~70nt precursors and subsequently processed by the Dicer enzyme to give a ~22nt product. Lineage: Eukaryota; Viridiplantae; Streptophyta; Magnoliopsida; Asterales; Asteraceae. The record is from Rfam by way of RNAcentral.
UUUGUGGAGAAUGGUGGCUGGCUCGAUGUAUUCAUCUUUUUCGAUUUAUUAAUGAAUUUGCAGAAGAGAUUUUGUUUCUCUCUCUACAUUUUCUUCGUGUAAGAUGACAACAUCGGACCAGGCUUCAUUCCUCUCAAA